This 84-nucleotide microRNA precursor is filed under the name Colobus angolensis palliatus. RNAcentral describes it as "miRNA (ENSCANG00000010226.1)". The record is from RNAcentral. Lineage: Eukaryota; Metazoa; Chordata; Mammalia; Primates; Cercopithecidae.
GGAGAAAGGAGUGGACCGAGGAAGGAAGGAAGGAAGGCAAGGCUGUCUGUCCAUCCGUCCGUCUGUCCACCUACCUGUCAGUCC